This 495-nucleotide ribosomal RNA is filed under the name uncultured bacterium. RNAcentral's name for it is "partial 16S ribosomal RNA". It matches the Rfam family "Bacterial small subunit ribosomal RNA", at positions 28 to 507 of the family's 1533-position model. The record is from RNAcentral.
GACGAACGCUGGCGGCGUGCCUAAUACAUGCAAGUAGAACGCUGAAGGAGGAGCUUGCUUCUCUGGAUGAGUUGCGAACGGGUGAGUAACGCGUAGGUAACCUGCCUGGUAGCGGGGGAUAACUAUUGGAAACGAUAGCUAAUACCGCAUAAUAGCAGUUAUUGCAUGAUAACUGUUUGAAAGGUGCAAUUGCACCACUACCAGAUGGACCUGCGUUGUAUUAGCUAGUUGGUGGGGUAACGGCUCACCAAGGCGACGAUACAUAGCCGACCUGAGAGGGUGAUCGGCCACACUGGGACUGAGACACGGCCCAGACUCCUACGGGAGGCAGCAGUAGGGAAUCUUCGGCAAUGGGCGGAAGUCUGACCGAGCAACGCCGCGUGAGUGAAGAAGGUUUUCGGAUCGUAAAGCUCUGUUGUAAGAGAAGAACGAGUGUGAGAGUGGAAAGUUCACACUGUGACGGUAUCUUACCAGAAAGAGACGGCUAACUACGUG